GGAGCCCCCACUUCACUCUGGGUAAGUCUCCAGUACUUUUUUUUAAAAAAGAUUGAUUUACUUUUUUAUUUACUUAGGUUUACUUAUUUAUUUUGAGAGAGACAGCAUGAGGGGCAGAGAAAGAGGGAGAGAGAGAAUCCCAAGCAGGCUCCACGCUGUCAGCACGGAGCCGGACGCGGGGCUCGAACUCACAAAACCGCGAGAUCGUGACCUGAGCCAAACCAAGAGUCAGCCGCUUAACUGACCGAGCCGCCCAGGCGUCCAAAAGAUUUUUUUUUUUCCUUAAGUAACCUCUACACCCCAUGUGGGACUCAAACUCACAACUCUGCGAUUAAGAGUCGCUGCACCGACUAAGCCGGCCAGAUGCCUCUGUCCCUAGUACAGAAAGGACACUGUAGAGUGUAGAGACCACAGAUGUGGAAACUGAGGCCCAGAGAGAAGGGGCUCACUUCUGUUGACUAUCACCCCCCAGCACACCCCCAUGAUUUUUGCCCCCUGGGUAAGGACGUGGGCCUUACUCUCUCACUUACCGGUAGACCAACAUCUGUUGCCCUAGCUAGCAGGAAUGAUGUUGCCCCGACUUGCUGUGUGACCUCGGGCAAAGCACUCCACGCUGGGCUUCUUAGGAGGCGAGAGAGGGGUCUGGUCGAGAGGGUCGGUUGAAUUGCACUUUGCCUGCAAUUCCUGAGACGGUCACCAGGGGGCUCCAAACAGCCAGGCUCCUGCCAUCCCUGUGUCCCCGCCUCCCGGUAGGCACCGGGGCCAGCGGGAAGAAGGAGAUGGCUACAUGCGUCACCCGCCAAGUCGAGGAUGUUAGGGAAAGGGAAGAAGGAAAACUGGCCAGACAGCUGGUGUUUCACCUUUCCACGGGCCUGGAUUGAAAUUGUUCUGUUCCCUCCGUGCUGCUGUUGCAAGUUCCGGGCUCCUGGGGGCGUGCGGUGACGUCCGGCCUGACCAGCUGAUGCCUGCUGCCCCAGACACACCUGAUCACACCCAGGGGGAGGCCCAGUCCCUGACGCCCACCUGGGAUGUUGCUACGCCAGCCCAGGCAGCAGGGAGGAGCCUGUGUGACCCCGAGGCCGUGGCUCCCCCCUGGGGGCCUCCAGUGUGCAGUCUGCAGCGGGACCCCCGGUGCCAUCUUGGAAGGCUCCCGUGUGCAGCCAGACGGUAUGAUCCGAAGAGACGCACGGAGGGGAGGGGCGAGGCGCGCGAGGACGUCAUCCCUUCACCUUGGACGUUCUCUGCGCCACACCUUUGCCCAAGCUGUGCCCCCUGCCUGAAGCACCUUUCGUGCUCCUCUCGGCCACUCCAGCUCACCUGAGAUUGCAGCCCCCUCCGGGACGUCUUCUCGGAUUCCCUUCUCACCAGUCAGUGAGCACUGUGUCCUCCUUGGGGCCCACCCCAAGCCCCCUGUACUGCGAACAGCCUUUGUGUGGGGGCCCGAGGGUGCAGCCAGUUACUGGUGGAAUCUCAAAUGGCUACAGGUGGAGACUGGGGGGACCCCAGGCCUCUCACCCCCGCAAUGGUGCCCACUCCCUCGGCGGUGUCCUCCUUCCCCUGAAUCCCACUGCCUUGUCCCUUACACGGGGUCCCCCCGUUGGGUCUGAAGGGGUCUGGUUGAAUGGGUGGGGUUGGGGGGUGCUGGGCCGCGUAGAGCCGUGAGGCACAGGCGGUGAUCACGGGGGCAUUCCAGGCGACGUGAUGUGGGAACUCUGGGGACAGGACCCUCUGCGUAGAAGGCUGGGCCCCAGCUGGACAGGAAGGGAGG
Molecule: long non-coding RNA, 1768 nt
Filed under: Lynx pardinus (Iberian lynx)
Lineage: Eukaryota; Metazoa; Chordata; Mammalia; Carnivora; Felidae
Source: RNAcentral